This 923-nucleotide RNase MRP RNA is filed under the name Naematelia encephala. Its description in RNAcentral is "Tremella encephala RNase MRP". It matches the Rfam family "RNase MRP". From Rfam's summary of the family: RNase MRP is an enzymatically active ribonucleoprotein with two distinct roles in eukaryotes. In mitochondria it plays a direct role in the initiation of mitochondrial DNA replication. The record is from Rfam by way of RNAcentral. Lineage: Eukaryota; Fungi; Basidiomycota; Tremellomycetes; Tremellales; Naemateliaceae.
CGCUCAGCACAAGAAUCGCUCGUCGCAGCACACGAACGAGAUGGCGAGUAUUCAGUCUCGCCCAUCCUCAAUCGCGCUGUGGGUGAAAGUCCCCGGAGCCUUCGUUCCGCUUUUUGAGUUUUGCCCGCCUUACUCCUCCAUGACGUUCAUUCAACCUUCUUUAGACGGAAACUGGACGUUCGCUUGCAGACUCUGAGUACUACUAGUCGGUAUCUGGCGUUGCCAGAGGAAGCCUCUGAUACUGGCUUCGGAGGAGAGCUGGAGAUCAGGAAAGCACUUGUACCUGAGAAUACGAGACGAUCUCUAGUAAUCCCGAGAAGCUGGCCAGUGGUGGACGAAGCUACAACGGGCCGACGGACGGCUCAGAUUACAGUCUGUUGGGCUCUCUACAAUUUCCGUUCUUUUGGGUGGCUUGACUCAAACGACUGGGAUCGAGUUGGUGAUCGAGUAGGACAUUGAAGCUGUUUGGCCCGGACCGCAAGGACGACCACUCUUCGUCCUUCUUGGCAGCGCUCAUGCGCUUUUCCGCCUCAUCUUCUCCCUUGCGCGACAAUGGCGCCACUUCCAAUCAACUCGCAUCCUGCCUCACAAGCUCGGAUAGGGUGUGUGCUUACUCAAUAGCUGGGGUGACGGUGAUGCGCGAAGAGACGAGCCAUCAUCCUCUCGCCCUGUUUAUUGGGUAACUCACAUACUUCGCUGAAACUUUCGGCUAGCCGUGUUUUGCGCUGUGCGGAAUGCUUUCAAGUGAUGGAGCAAGUGUGUUGUCGUUGUCCUCCAGUGGAUUGGCUCUGUGAUGGAUGAAUCGCAAGGAAGCAGGUACGGACUAAAUGUUCGCUCAUAGUUACAGUAAUGCGAUUACCCGCACGGCUUCGACCCUUGUCGUUGCUGAGGGUAACUCGAUGGGGCUUACUCUGUGUCUGGGC